CCUGUCGUGAGAUGUUGGGUUAAGUCCCGCAACGAGCGCAACCCCUACGUUUAGUUGCUAACGCGUGAAGGCGAGCANNNNAGACGAACUGCCGUUGACAAAACGGAGGAAGGUGGGGAUGACGUCAAAUCAUCAUGCCCCUUAUGUCCUGGGCUACACACGUGCUACAAUGGCCGGUACAAAGGGAAGUGAAGCUGCGAGGCGGAGCAAAUCCCAAAAAGCCGGUCUCAGUUCGGAUUGCAGGCUGAAAUUCGCCUGCAUGAAGUCGGAAUCGCUAGUAAUCGCAGGUCAGCAUACUGCGGUGAAUACGUUCCCGGGCCUUGUACACACCGCCCGUCACACCACGAAAGCUGACAACACCCGAAGCCGGUGACUUAACCUGAAAAGGAGAGAGCCGUCGAAGGUGGGGUUGGUGAUUGGGGUGAAGUCGUAACAAGGUAACCA
RNAcentral lists this ribosomal RNA (444 nucleotides) under uncultured bacterium. RNAcentral describes it as "bacterial SSU rRNA". It matches the Rfam family "Bacterial small subunit ribosomal RNA", at positions 1061 to 1502 of the family's 1533-position model. The record is from RNAcentral.